UUUGAAUACCUUGAAUUGCCUAGCUACUUAGUUUUAUAAGAUGAACAUGGUUUUCUUCCUAUCCUUAUAAACAGUCAGCAGUCUCCUGGAUAAUUCAUGUGGUGUUCUUGUCUGCAGGUUUACUAUGUCUACGGCUUCAUGCUUCUUGUCUUUGUAAUUCUGAUCAUUGUCACCGUUUGUGUGACGAUUGUGGGAACAUAUUUCUUACUGAAUGCCGAAAACUACCAUUGGCAAUGGACUUCGUUCUUCUCUGCAGCUUCCACCGCUCUAUAUGUAUACUUCUAUUCUAUAUACUACUAUCAUGUCAAGACUAAGAUGUCGGGCUUCUUCCAGACCAACUUUUAUUUUGGAUUCACUCUGAUGUUCUGUCUCGGUCUGGGAAUCCUCUGUGGUGCCGUUGGAUAUCUGGGCUCCAACUUGUUUGUGAGGAGAAUUUACAGGAAUAUCAAAUGUGAUUAAUUCUAGAUUAUACAGAGUUUGUUGGUUUUGCUUGGUGCAUGAUAAGUUAACUCGAAUCGGGAGAUAAUGGAAUGAACAAGCUCUGCAGCAUCGAAGAGGAUCUUUUUUUGCAGUUAUGAAAUGUAUUGAUGGUUGCCUAUAGAUUUGGACUGUUGAUUACUAAACACCAUUUUGGAUUCUCCCUUUACAUCAAAAUCUCAGCUUGUAAAAAUCUUGCCUCUUUAGGCAUUUGUGACCUUUCUCUAUUUUCAUUUUAUGUAGACAUUUCACUCCCAAAA
Non-coding RNA from Salvia hispanica, 737 nucleotides. Lineage: Eukaryota; Viridiplantae; Streptophyta; Magnoliopsida; Lamiales; Lamiaceae. The record is from RefSeq and is a predicted model, not a curated record.